This 203-nucleotide long non-coding RNA is filed under the name Elaeis guineensis (African oil palm). Its description in RNAcentral is "long non-coding RNA (EGUI_LNC081581)". The record is from RNAcentral. Lineage: Eukaryota; Viridiplantae; Streptophyta; Magnoliopsida; Arecales; Arecaceae.
CGAGGAGGAGAAUAUUUAUCCAAUAAAUUUUUAUAUUAUCAUAAAAAAAAAUAAAAUUCUCUCAGAGUAGACCCCUCCUUAUAUACGACAGCUAAAUGGUGUAGUAGAAAGAAAAAAUCGUACUUUAUUAGAUAUGGUACGGUCCAUGAUGUGCCUUACAGACUUGUCUAUUUUUUUUUGAAGAUAUGCCCUAGAGACUGCUG